RNAcentral lists this long non-coding RNA (699 nucleotides) under Gossypium raimondii (Peruvian cotton). RNAcentral's name for it is "long non-coding RNA (GRAI_LNC001683)". Lineage: Eukaryota; Viridiplantae; Streptophyta; Magnoliopsida; Malvales; Malvaceae. The record is from RNAcentral.
UUCAUACAUCAAAUUAUACAUUAGACCAAAGUCAAUGUAUAAGUUAGAUAUUUAUCCCAUUAUUUUUUGAAUUGCUAGCUAAAAUAUUGUGAAAUUAUAAUAUCAUGAAGCUUUUUAAGUGAACUUUCAAAUCUAAUGGUCUUUACCUUUUUAUUAAAAAUAUUUCAAUUGUUAUACGUCACUCAACGUGAUUCAUGAUAACAUGGAAAGACAUUUGAGAGACUUUCAUGGAUGAUCCUUUGCGUACCUCUCGACAUACAACACUUGGUGUAUUCUCUAUCUAAGCACUCGGAUAGUCCUCUAUCGUCCAACUAAUAACUGGGUGACCAUCCAACCAUCCGAGCACCUCAUCCUCUAGGCCACCGUUUUGAGUGGGUGCACAUCCACCUUUAAAGAGGAGAUCAUCAAGAGACCACUGAACGUAACAACCUCGUACUACCUUAGCCAACUUAACCAAGAGAAUGCAAGAAAAGUACAUGAAUGAAGACAACCCAUGUAUAAUAACCUUAGUACCUGGCUGACUGCACGAUCAUCAUGUCUCAAAUUUGCCGAUGACGCGGCCUCAUUGAGCAGAAAAUCUCCUUCUGUAUAAAUAUCCUGUAAAACGAUUAAAAAGGAAUCAAACCUUAAAUGCUCUCGGCACUCAACCCACUUUACCUCCUUACCUUACCUACUUUCUCUGGCUUUUCUUGCUCCACC